Molecule: ribosomal RNA, 429 nt
Filed under: Chloroflexota bacterium
Lineage: Bacteria; Bacillati; Chloroflexota
Description: Chloroflexi bacterium partial 16S ribosomal RNA
Rfam family: Bacterial small subunit ribosomal RNA
Source: RNAcentral
UGGGGAAUAUUGCACAAUGGGCGCAAGCCUGAUGCAGCCAUGCCGCGUGUAUGAAGAAGGCCUUCGGGUUGUAAAGUACUUUCAGCGGGGAGGAAGGGAGUAAAGUUAAUACCUUUUCUCAUUGACGUUACCCGCAGAAGAAGCACCGGCUAACUCCGUGCCAGCAGCCGCGGUAAUACGGAGGGUGCAAGCGUUAAUCGGAAUUACUGGGCGUAAAGCGCACGCAGGCGGUUUGUUAAGUCAGAUGUGAAAUCCCCGGGCUCAACCUGGGAACUGCAUCUGAUACUGGCAAGCUGGAGUCUCGUAGAGGGGGGUAGAAUGCCAGGUGUAGCGGUGAAAUGCGUAGAGAUCUGGAGGAAUACCGGUGGCGAAGGCGGCCCCCUGGACGAAGACUGACGCUCAGGUGCGAAAGCGUGGGGAGCAAACAGG